GGCGACGGGUGAGUAACGCGUGGGUAACCUGCCGUAUACAGGGGGACAACAGUUGGAAACGGCUGCUAAUACCGCAUAAGCGCACAGUACUGCAUGGUACAGUGUGAAAAGUUCUGGCGGCAUACGAUGGACCCGCGUCUGAUUAGCUAGUGGUGAGGUAACGGCCCACCAAGGCGACGAUCAGUAGCCGGCCUGAGAGGGUGAACGGCCACAUUGGGACUGAGACACGGCCCAAACUCCUACGGGAGGCAGCAGUAGGGAAUUUUCGGCAAUGGGGGAAACCCUGACCGAGCAACGCCGCGUGAGUGAAGACGGCCUUCGGGUUGUAAAGCUCUGUUGUAAAGGAAGAAAGGCAUGGAUAGAAUCCAUGAGUGACGGUACUUUACCAGAAAGCCACGGCUAACUACGUG
Molecule: ribosomal RNA, 410 nt
Filed under: uncultured bacterium
Lineage: Bacteria
Description: bacterial SSU rRNA
Rfam family: Bacterial small subunit ribosomal RNA
Source: RNAcentral